AUUGAACGCUGGCGGUAGGCCUAACACAUGCAAGUCGAGCGGAUGAAGGGAGCUUGCUCCUGGAUUCAGCGGCGGACGGGUGGGUAAUGCCUAGGAAUCUGCCUGUUAGUGGGGGAUAACGUCCGGAAACGGGCGCUAAUACCGCAUACGUCCUGAGGGAGUAAGUGGGGGAUCUUCGGACCUCACGCUCUCAGAUGAGCCUAGGUCGGAUUAGCUAGUUGGUGGGGUAAAGGCCUACCAAGGCGACGAUCCGUAACUGGUCUGAGAGGAUGAUCAGUCACACUGGAACUGAGACACGGUCCAGACUCCUACGGGAGGCAGCAGUGGGGAAUAUUGGACAAUGGGCGAAAGCCUGAUCCAGCCAUGCCGCGUGUGUGAAGAAGGUCUUCGGAUUGUAAAGCACUUUAAGUUGGGAAGAAGAGCAGUAAGUUAAUACCUUGCUGUUUUGACGGUACCAACAGAAUAAGCACCGGCUAACUUCGUG
This 484-nucleotide ribosomal RNA is filed under the name uncultured bacterium. RNAcentral's name for it is "partial 16S ribosomal RNA". It matches the Rfam family "Bacterial small subunit ribosomal RNA", at positions 30 to 507 of the family's 1533-position model. The record is from RNAcentral.